GCAGGGCGUGUCGCAGUACGAUUGAUCGAAAUGCCACGCCCUUGAGCCGAGCCGUCCGAAUGUAUUGUGCUGUCAUGACUUCGGUCAUGGAUGCCCGCGUCAUGCGCGCGAUGUACCCCAUGCCGUAAAGUGAGAUGGUCAUCACGGGUAAAAAGAAAUUCCAGAAAUUGGC
Molecule: non-coding RNA, 172 nt
Filed under: uncultured Yoonia sp.
Lineage: Bacteria; Pseudomonadati; Pseudomonadota; Alphaproteobacteria; Rhodobacterales; Paracoccaceae
Description: Ruegeria cis52 sRNA
Rfam family: Ruegeria cis52 sRNA
About the family: Cis-encoded. Targets oligo/dipeptide ABC transporter. Functions in transport.
Source: RNAcentral